GGAAUUUUUCGCAAUGGGGGAAACCCUGAUCCAGCGACGCCGCGUGACCGAUGAAGGCCCUCGGGUCGUAAAGGUCUUUCGACGGGGAAAAUAGUGAUGGUACCCGUAUAAGAAGGAGCGGCUAACUCCGUGCCCGCAGCCGCGGUAAUACGUAGGCUCCAAGCGUUGUUCGGAAUUACUGGGCGUAAAGCGAGUGUAGGCGGUCCGUCAAGUCGGCUGUGAAAUCUCCUGGCUCAACUAGGAGGGUGCGGCCGAAACUGACGGACUGGAGUCCGGGAGAGGAGAGUGGAAUUCCUGGUGUAGCGGUGAAAUGCGUAGAUAUCAGGAGGAACACCGGUGGUGAAGACGGCUCUCUGGACCGGUACUGACGCUGAGACUCGAAAGCGUGGGGAGCAAAC
This 398-nucleotide ribosomal RNA is filed under the name uncultured bacterium. RNAcentral describes it as "bacterial SSU rRNA". It matches the Rfam family "Bacterial small subunit ribosomal RNA", at positions 358 to 773 of the family's 1533-position model. The record is from RNAcentral.